UACGUAGGGGGCAAGCGUUGUCCGGAUUUAUUGGGCGUAAAGAGCGUGUAGGCGGCCAUACAGGUCAGCUGUGAAAACUUGAGGCUCAACCUCGAGACGUCGGUUGAAACCGUAUGGCUAGAGUCCGGAAGAGGAGAGUGGAAUUCCCGGUGUAGCGGUGAAAUGCGCAGAUAUCGGGAAGAACACCCGUGGCGAAGGCGGCUCUCUGGGACGGUACUGACGCUGAGACGCGAAAGCGUGGGGAGCGAACAGG
RNAcentral lists this ribosomal RNA (253 nucleotides) under uncultured bacterium. RNAcentral's name for it is "partial 16S ribosomal RNA". It matches the Rfam family "Bacterial small subunit ribosomal RNA", at positions 524 to 776 of the family's 1533-position model. The record is from RNAcentral.